UACGGAGGGUGCAAACGUUGCUCGGAAUUAUUGGGCGUAAAGCGCACGUAGGCGGACUGUUAAGUCGGAUGUGAAAGCCCUCGGCUUAACUGAGGAAGUGCAUUCGAAACUAGCAGUCUUGAGUAUGGAAGAGGGUCGCGGAAUUCCAGGUGUAGAGGUGAAAUUCGUAGAUAUCGGGAGGAACACCAGUGGCGAAGGCGGCGACCUGGGCCAAUACUGACGCUGAGGUGCGAAAGCGUGGGGAGCAAACAGG
This 253-nucleotide ribosomal RNA is filed under the name uncultured Haliangium sp. RNAcentral describes it as "partial 16S ribosomal RNA". It matches the Rfam family "Bacterial small subunit ribosomal RNA", at positions 524 to 776 of the family's 1533-position model. The record is from RNAcentral. Lineage: Bacteria; Pseudomonadati; Myxococcota; Haliangiales; Kofleriaceae.